Molecule: long non-coding RNA, 1675 nt
Organism: Solanum dulcamara
Lineage: Eukaryota; Viridiplantae; Streptophyta; Magnoliopsida; Solanales; Solanaceae
Exons: 4
Source: RefSeq, a predicted model, not a curated record
CACGUUCACGUACUGCUUCCACUACAAAUUGUUUUUACUUAGUAUUUGCUUUUUGUUAAAUUAAUUAUUAUCGUUUUCUUCAAUUAAGAUUAUGUUUGCUUUACUUGGAGACGAGGUCAUAUUGUCUCUCCCCACUCUUACUUGAGGUUAAUUAAAGUUACAACAAAAAGAAACAUACCCCAAAAACAUCAUCUAUGAGGAGAUAUUAGGAAGAAUCAGGCACCGAUAACCAGAGAGCUAAGUGUACUUAAGAGGCUACUGGCUCAGCAUCCUUAAAGUGAAUGACUAAUUGGACAUAUAUUUUCAUAGAGAAGGGUGAUCUUAAUCAUAUCACAGAAAAGGUAAAUUGGACAAUUCUAUGCUGUCUUCGGGAGGAGGGUAGUUUGAGCUACAAAAACUAGACAUCAGGACCUGAAAACAGCUCCUAUUUUAUGAUAAUUUGAAGGAUAUGCUGUGCCAACAAUAGCCUGUGGACAAAAAUGUGUAAGAUGAGAUCUUAUUGGUACCGGUUAAUAAAGAACUUCAGACAAAUACUGUAAACUCACGAACGUUCCUGGGGUUGUAGAACCCACUGACAAUGAGUCUUUUUUUUUCCUUUUUAUCUGAUCAAUCACACUGAAUGGGGUUGUAGAACCCACUGACAAUGAGUCUUUUUUUGCUUCUGAUCAGUCACACUGAAUAUGAGACUGCUGUUCAAAUUUCCACUUGACAACUUGAUGGAAGAAAUACUUCUUUCUGGUUUGAUCUCUAAUGGCCUAAGUUACAGACAUGCAUAUGCUUUUUUACUAUAUCACUGGCUAAUGAAAUUACUGCCAGGUGAAGUUGGAAAUGUCACAAGGAAAAUGCCAAGGUAAAUGAGUAAUCUUAGGUAUGAACCUGAAUUUUUGAACCUAAAGCUGAACACUCAUGAAGUUAGAUCUAUUUCUCUGAAACCUGGUCAGUAUUCAAAGUUCAGAUAUUCGGUAGCCUUCCACGGGAAGCUCUCUGUUGUUAGCAGACUAAAGAAGCAAAGGGGGCAAUUUACAGCUACACAUAUGCGUGUUAUACUGGAGCAUCCAGCAUAGAGCAAUUAACAAGAAGUUUAAGUUCUCAGCUUAUUGGUUCUGAAAUGUACAUAAGCUAAUGUUAUGAGUUGCCAAAACAGUCAAACGACAUAUUCUUACUCUUCACGAAAAUAGUUUACAGUUCUGCCCAUCACUAUAGUCGUCAUGAGGUAUAAGCUACUAGCGUUAUAAGUUUCCAAAGCAGCCAAACAACUUAUUCAUACUCUUUACUGAAAUGAAUGCUAUUUCUCUUCAUUACUACAAUAAUCAAGUGCUAUAAGAUUUUUGUUUAUUAGUAAUCAUGACCCAUGAGCUAUAGGCAAAAGCUUCAGCGAAAGGGCUUACAAAUAUGGAUGCAGCUACUAUCUCUAUGUCUAAUUAAGCAGAUAGGAGCUAGAUUAGCCAAUCUUCAGACUGUCUGACACACUAUUAUCGCGACUUAAAAAAUCUGCAGAGACAUUUGGCGCUCACCACAAAGAAUAGCUUUCUUGGCUGGAGUUAUCCACUACAUAUAGUAAUUUCUAUGGGAAUUAAUUAUCUGCAUCUUUUUUUUAUCAACACAAUAUUGCACUCGAGAACGCCUUUGGUACUUCUGAAUUCCAUACAGGUGAAUGACUACCAAAAAAAUCAAA